RNAcentral lists this ribosomal RNA (497 nucleotides) under uncultured bacterium. Its description in RNAcentral is "partial 16S ribosomal RNA". It matches the Rfam family "Bacterial small subunit ribosomal RNA", at positions 28 to 507 of the family's 1533-position model. The record is from RNAcentral.
GACGAACGCUGGCGGCGUGCCUAAUACAUGCAAGUUGAGCGCUGAAGGUUGGUACUUGUACCAACUGGAUGAGCAGCGAACGGGUGAGUAACGCGUGGGGAAUCUGCCUUUGAGCGGGGGACAACAUUUGGAAACGAAUGCUAAUACCGCAUAAAAACUUUAAACACAAGUUUUAAGUUUGAAAGAUGCAAUUGCAUCACUCAAAGAUGAUCCCGCGUUGUAUUAGCUAGUUGGUGAGGUAAAGGCUCACCAAGGCGAUGAUACAUAGCCGACCUGAGAGGGUGAGCGGCCACAUUGGGACUGAGACACGGCCCAAACUCCUACGGGAGGCAGCAGUAGGGAAUCUUCGGCAAUGGACGAAAGUCUGACAGAGCAACGCCGCGUGAGUGAAGAAGGUUUUCGGAUCGUAAAACUCUGUUGGUAGAGAAGAACGUUGGUGAGAGUGGAAAGCUCAUCAAGUGACGGUAACUACCCAGAAAGGGACGGCUAAAUACGUG